CACGUGGCUCAGACAAGCUGCAGAAAUAGACUGGGCGCUGGGAUACCUCCCAGCGGCCCCGCAGCCCUCACCAACACCCCAGGCAGGGAGUGUGUCUAGCACAAUUGUCACACACUUACCGUUGCAAGUGACUUCAGACUAAGGACCUGUCAGCACCCUGAACUGAGAAAUUUAUGCUGAUAAAACACCCCUUUAUCAGUUUCACAUGUUGGCCUUUUGGAUAUGAUUGUGGCUGAAAAAGAGGUUUUACUGGAAAAGUCCAUUUGAAAAUGGCAGCCUUGACUCCCUCCUCACAGGUGCCCUGGGAGGCUGGGGAAGGGCAAGAAUCCUCUUCUAGAAAAUGGGAACACUAAGGUCAGAGGGUAGGGUGACGUGCGUAGUGGCUGGAAUCUAGGGUGCUUCCGUCUUCUGGCGCCAUGAGAAGGGAGACAGACUAUUUUGCCCAGCCCAGCCCCACCUAGAGUGGGUGGUCUAAGAUACCCCCAUGGGCUGCAGUGCCCGCUGAGGAUAAAUCCUUAGAAUCUCCAUUUCUUGACAGUUCACCUCAGUGUAACACACACUCUGGACCCAGAUAGUUUGAAACCUUCCUGUGCCAUUUCUUAGCUGUGUGACCUUGGAUAAGUCACUUCACCUCUCUGCGCCUCAGUUUGCUCACCUGUAAAAUGGGGAUAAUAAUAGGAUGCACUUCACAGGGAGGGUUGUGGGAAAGACUGCUUGAGAAACUGCCUGAAAAGCACUUAGCACAAGGCUGGACACUUUGUGAGCACCCAACCAACGGUAGAGUUUAUUAUCAUUAUUAUUCUCCCUGAGGAAGCACUCACUGAAUCUUUACCCUGACAGCCCUGCUUGGGUCCUGGGGAUUGGACAUGGGGCUUCUGCCCCCAAGUGGCUCAGAAGUCCAGAGAGACAAGAGGCAGCGCUGAGGGAAAGGCCACUUCUGAUGGGGCAUCCAUCCGGGAAGGCCUCCAGGAAGAAGUGGCCUUGAAGCUGGGCCUAGAAGGAUGGCCUCUUCAGACUGUCUGGGCAGGGCCGUCAGGAGUUGGGAGAUGGCUGACUUAGCUUGCUUGUCUGGGAGAAAGAACUGCGGAGAAACCUCCUGGCCAGCCUGGGGUGGUUGUGUGGAGAGAAGCCAGAAUCAGCUCAGGAACUCCAAAAACCUCAGCAGCUCCUUUGCCUUCUGCCCCUAUCCACCCACCGCCGUUUCCCCUGGAGGUCACUCGAGCCAAAAUACCAAGAGCCAGGCGGCCGGGCAGAUGGCCAUUCCCAGGAAAGCAGGAGCCGAGAAGAGGGAACCUGUGCCCCCUUCCCACUCCCACAACCCAGCUGUGUCAGCAGAAAGUCCACCCAGGCUGGGUUCGAAUCCCACUUACUGUGUGAUCUCAGCCAAGUCACUUCAUUUCUUUGAACCUCAGUUUUCUCUUCUGUAAAAUGGGCAUAAAGCUACCUUAAAGGGCUGUUGUGAGGAUGUACUGACCAGAUGUAUAAAGCAUCCGGCACACAUUAAGUGCUUAAUAAUUGUCUCUUUGGAGACGGGAAAAGAGCCAGGCUGACUUUCCACAUGAGGAAGUGAGGAUGCUGGAGACUGGCCCCUCCAACUUAAUCCCUGGCCCAUCACCCUCAGGAAGUCCACAGCCUCCUCAACCGGCAGGGCUGGCAGAUGAGGAAACCGAGGUGCAGAGUCAAGCCAGGCUUGUGAAAAGCAUGCAGAGGACCAGAGGAGGUGGGAUGCAAACCCAGGCUCAAUGGAUGGACUCGACGUCGAGGCCUCUCCAGAACUCUUCAUCGCAGACACCUUGCUCUGGCUGAACCCCAGUUCUCCCCACUCCCACCCCCUCACGCCUACACAUCUGCUCCCUCCCCAGAGAAGUUCAGGCCGUGGGAGCCAGCCCUCCCUUCCUUCCAGGCUUCUGUGGAUGCCCUGGACCACGUCCACCAAUAGCCACCGGAGGACAGGCAGAGCCGGGGCUGAGUCAGCUGGUGCCCCAUGGCACCGCCUGGCACAAGAGCUCCUAGGAGGCUUUGCUGAGAGGACGAAUCAGGAGGCUGGACACGAAGUCACCACCCAGGGACGUGCCUGCAGCGCCACCUGGUGGUGACGUGGCACUCCUGCUACUCUCGGCCCUUGUCCUGCCAUCCCAUCCCUGUGGGUUCGGUAGAUGGUUUAGUGAGCAGCUACUACGUGCCAAGCAAUGGGUGGCCAGGCACUGAGAAUGGGACCAGUCCGGGAAGAUCUGGGGGACAGCACUCCAGGCAGACAAGUGUUCUGAGACCGGAAGGAGUUGGUCGUGACCCAGAAGGAGCAAAAUGGUCAAAGUGGCUAGACCCGGGUGCCAGGGGUGGAGACGGAGGGGGAAGUGGGCCAGGUUGGUGGCCAGAUCUCAUGGGGCUUUUUAGGCUGUGGUGAGGAUAUGGUCGAUGGUUUAAAGGCUGCUGUGGGGAGGACAGACUGCAGGGUGAAAACAGGAAAUCAGGCAGAAUAUGAUGGUGGCUCAGACACCAGGGGGUGGCGGGGAGGGUGGGAAGAAGUGCCUGGAUUCUAGAACUGAUAGGAUUUGCAGACGGAUUGGAUGGGGCUGUGAGAUAAAGUGGGGAAUGAAGGACAACCCCAAGGCUUUUGUCUGAGCACCUGAGGAAAGGUGAGGUCCUUUACUUUGAAAAGAAGAAGGAGGAGAAGCAGGUUUGUGGGGGGGACCAGGUGCCUUCGGGCAGUUUAAGGUGGAGACGCCUGUAAUAUGUCCAAGGGGAGGAGCCGGGGAAGUGGGUGGGUCUGUGCCUCUGGAGCUCAGGGGGAGGAUGGGGCUGGAGGUCCACAUGUGAAGUUGCCAGGGUACAGAUGGCAGCCCACACCGUGAGGAUGGGUGAAUCACCUAGGAGCAGGCACAGGACAGAGCAGGGGGCCUCUGACCUUUAGAGUUUGAGGAGACGAGGAGGAGCAGCCAGGAGCCCACAUGGGACCAGCACAGGCCUGGAGGCAGCACCAAGGCCCCGGUAGCCCUUCUGUCCCCCAGUGCACCCCCGUCUGGACUUGGAGUCGGCCUGGAAUCCAGGGCAGAGUGGAUGUCCCCUACCAGAAUCGGAGACACCUGCAGCCUCGGAGCUGGGGGAUACUGAACAUUCCCAGCUCCUGCUGACAGACAAGCAGCUUAGGAUAAAAGGCUCCUGCUGCACUGGGUCCAGGCGUCAGCCUCCGUGGGUGGGAGGGUUUGCUGAAGUGAGAGGCUGAUGAGAGCGCAAGGGAGGGCUGGCUGGAGGCAAGCACCUUCCAACCGGUUUCGGAUUUCCUUUGCUGUCCUCCCCUAUCUCUGGCUGGCAGCUUUUUGGGAUUAGCUGCUGUGGUCAGGAGCUGCCAGCUGGGCCGGCCUGGCACAGCCUCAGGGAGGUGUAUGAGGGCUGUCUGGUAGCUGGGCACAGUCAAGGAAGGGGGCAUGAGUCCAGUUUUCGAAAUUUGUCCCUCAGGAAAUUUGUCCUUUGGAAAUUUGGGAAGUGGUGGGGAGAGGUGCGUGUCUGCCACUCACACAUGAUCCGUGUAGCACAUCCACAUUGUACAGGGAGAGAAAUAGCUCAGGGAGGUGGAGUGAUCACGCAAGGCCACGCAGCUGGUCUGACCCUGGCUGCAUCCCACGCCAUCCAGUGGACACGCCUCCCUGACGGCUGACAGAUGAGCUAGGAGGGGCUCAUGUCCGUGCGGGUCAGUACCUUCUACACCAUCGCCCCAAUGGCAGCUACCACGUACUGAGCACCUACCCUGUGCCAGGUGCCUGUGAGGCUGGUGUCCCGUUCUACAGACAAGAAAACAGAAGCCCAGACAGGGGAAGCGACUUGCUCUAGAUCACACCCCAAACCGGCGAUGGAGGCAGGGUUUGAACCCAGGACUAACUCCAGAGGCUGUGUUCUCACCUGCCCCAUGCUCAGCAGAGACCUCCCCGCUUUGACACACGUCAAGCCCACGGCAGCUGUGCUGCCCACGGCUGCACCAGGCCCUGCUCUGGCCGAGAGCAUUUGUACACAGAGCGGAAAACACAGUGGGGUGCAGCAGGCCUCUCCCGAGAGAAACCGACCUCACCUUGGCAAAUCUCAGGGAAGGGACUUGGAGGCUCAGUUGGGUCACAGGUUCACUCCUUGACCAAUCAACUGUGCCCAGGGCUGGGGUCAGAUAACCAUGUAGCAGCCCCCUACAGACCAUGGUGGCCAAGGCGGUGGGGCAUGGCCUUUGCCUAGAGAUUUGACCCCUGGGCCAAAGGUUCUGUUUAAGUUACAUCUGCCUCCCCCGGCUUCUGAGCUUCCUGUUCCCAACUUCCAUGACAAGAGGCUGGGGGGGUCAGGGUGGGUCCUCUCGAAACUGCUUUCCUUGGGCCGGGCCCCUUCGUCCAGCCGACAGGCCAUGUCUGCCCAGGGAACUGAAGUGUAUGGACAGGGGUCAGAAGCUACUCGAAGGACUUGUCUCUGUGCCCAACUCAUGUGUGAGCCUUGGGGUUAAGUCACAUGGUUCACCCUCUGGUCUCAGUUCACACAUCACCCACAGAGAGGUCUCCGCCCAGCUCCCCAGCCUUCCCAGCCGCAGUCUGUCCUUCUCUAUUGUGUCUCUGUGAGGUCUGUCUUUCCUGGCAGAUUGUGAGGGCAGGAGGCAGGGCUGACACAAAAUAGACAUUUAAUAAAUAUUUGCUGAAUGAA
RNAcentral lists this long non-coding RNA (4671 nucleotides) under Equus asinus (donkey). RNAcentral describes it as "lncRNA (ENSEASG00005027895.1)". The record is from RNAcentral. Lineage: Eukaryota; Metazoa; Chordata; Mammalia; Perissodactyla; Equidae.